RNAcentral lists this ribosomal RNA (364 nucleotides) under Ensifer meliloti. Its description in RNAcentral is "Sinorhizobium meliloti bacterial SSU rRNA". It matches the Rfam family "Bacterial small subunit ribosomal RNA", at positions 994 to 1357 of the family's 1533-position model. Lineage: Bacteria; Pseudomonadati; Pseudomonadota; Alphaproteobacteria; Hyphomicrobiales; Rhizobiaceae. The record is from RNAcentral.
UGGGCAGUGGAGACAUUGUCCUUCAGUUAGGCUGGCCCCAGAACAGGUGCUGCAUGGCUGUCGUCAGCUCGUGUCGUGAGAUGUUGGGUUAAGUCCCGCAACGAGCGCAACCCUCGCCCUUAGUUGCCAGCAUUUAGUUGGGCACUCUAAGGGGACUGCCGGUGAUAAGCCGAGAGGAAGGUGGGGAUGACGUCAAGUCCUCAUGGCCCUUACGGGCUGGGCUACACACGUGCUACAAUGGUGGUGACAGUGGGCAGCGAGACAGCGAUGUCGAGCUAAUCUCCAAAAGCCAUCUCAGUUCGGAUUGCACUCUGCAACUCGAGUGCAUGAAGUUGGAAUCGCUAGUAAUCGCAGAUCAGCAUGC